AUACGGAGGGUGCGAGCGUUGUUCGGAAUUACUGGGCGUAAAGCGCGCGCAGGCGGAUGUGCAAGUCGAAGGUGAAAUCCCGGGGCUCAACCCCGGGACUGCUCUCGAUACUGCAUGUCUAGGGACCGGUAGAGGUCGGUGGAAUUCCCGGUGUAGCGGUGGAAUGCGUAGAUAUCGGGAGGAACACCUGUGGCGAAGGCGGCCGACUGGGCCGGAUCCGACGCUGAGGCGCGAAAGCGUGGGGAGCAAACAGGAUUAGAUACCCUGGUAGUCCACGCCGUAAACGAUGGGUGCUAGAUGCUGGGGGGAGCGACCCCUUCGGUGUCGUAGCUAACGCAUUAAGCACCCCGCCUGGGGAGUACGGCCGCAAGGCUGAA
RNAcentral lists this ribosomal RNA (377 nucleotides) under uncultured bacterium. RNAcentral's name for it is "bacterial SSU rRNA". It matches the Rfam family "Bacterial small subunit ribosomal RNA", at positions 523 to 898 of the family's 1533-position model. The record is from RNAcentral.